CUACUCUCUCCACGAUCCCCUCCCCUCCCCUCCCCUCCCACCCCACAUCGUCGAGCCUCGAUCUGGACGGAUCUUGCCAAUCCACACACGGAUCCGGCCUAACCAUCCCGCAGCUGCGCCGGUGGGCCACCAGGACGGCGGCGAGAACCACCAACCCAUGUUGAGACCUCAACGACGGUGGGUACCAAGAACCGAUGCUGCACCAACCACGCGCGUCACAAGGAGGGCGGGUGUGGUUGCUGCCGGAGCAGUGAACUCUGCGCUUGGCGCUGGACCAGCAGGGGCUGGGUUGGCCGCGACGCUUGAUUGGGUCGUUUCCAACUGCCCCGGCGUCGGUGGCGACGAGACGGUGCUGCCUUACUAUCAUCGUCACUUUUGAUUUCAGCAUCGGCCGGUGCCAGCGUCGAUGACAUAAUUUAUCAAUGGUGGGUUCAGUAGUAACUCAAAUCCGUUGCUCUGUAUGUGCCAGCGUGUGACGGAAAUUAUCAUUGGUGGGUCUGGUAGUAACUCAAAUCUGCUGCUAUGUUGUUUUCAGCCUGCUGCUGAGCUCUCUUUACUUUGGGCACUGUUUACCGGCAUCUCAAUCCUGACCUAGCAGGUCUGCUUACCAGCAUCAACAGCUGGAACAUGCACAUUAACUCGUUGACAUGUUUGGGCCAAACAAUAUGGAACAUGGAGGGUGUCUUGUCCUAAGACCUGAGCCAUUCACAUGUAUCGCAAUGCUUUCCCUUACCUCUGGUGCAUCAUGCAAAUGAUAUUCUGCAAUCCAGAAGAACUAGCUACUCAGAAGUGGAUGACAGUGAACAUGAGAAGCUAUGGUUUCCUGAUUUGUAGUUAUGUGUGGUGUUGUCAUGAAGCAUGGUGGUUCUGGCUUUGUGUAAAAUCAUUAUAAGUAUUGUACCUCUUUAGAGGAGUUGAACAUUGAACUAUGUAUGUGAUUCAUGUACCUGAAGUAUCCACUAUGAUGUCUAUUGCUGAAACGAAUAUAACAAUUUACUGAUAAUAUUAGUUUAU
Molecule: long non-coding RNA, 1014 nt
Organism: Triticum dicoccoides
Lineage: Eukaryota; Viridiplantae; Streptophyta; Magnoliopsida; Poales; Poaceae
Exons: 5
Source: RefSeq, a predicted model, not a curated record